GAUGAAGAACGCAGCGAAAUGCGAUAAUUAAUGUGAAUUGCAGAAUUCAGUGAAUCAUCGAAUCUUUGAACGCACAUUGCGCCCCCUGGUAUUCCGGGGGGCAUGCCUGUUCGAGCGUCAUUUCACCACUCAAGCCUCGCUUGGUAUUGGGCAACGCGGUCCGCCGCGUGCCUCAAAUCGACCGGCUGGGUCUUCUGUCCCCUAAGCGUUGUGGAAACUAUUCGCUAAAGGGUGUUCGGGAGGCUACGCCGUAAAACAACCCCAUUUCUAAGGUUGACCUCGGAUCAGGUAGGGAUACCCGCUGAACUUAAGCAUAUCAAUAAGCGGAGGA
Molecule: unclassified non-coding RNA, 331 nt
Filed under: soil metagenome
Description: partial contains 5.8S ribosomal RNA, internal transcribed spacer 2, and large subunit ribosomal RNA
Rfam family: 5.8S ribosomal RNA (bases 1-120)
Source: RNAcentral